GGGUUGUGAGGUUAAGCGACUAAGCGUACACGGUGGAUGCCCUGGCAGUCAGAGGCGAUGAAGGGCGUGCUAAUCUGCGAUAAGCGCCGGUAAGGUGAUAUGAACCGUUAUAACCGGCGAUACCCGAAUGGGGAAACCCAGUGUGAUUCGUCACACUAUCAUUAACUGAAUCCAUAGGUUAAUGAGGCGAACCGGGGGAACUGAAACAUCUAAGUACCCCGAGGAAAAGAAAUCAACCGAGAUUCCCCCAGUAGCGGCGAGCGAACGGGGAGGAGCCCAGAGCCUGAAUCAGCAUGUGUGUUAGUGGAAGCGUCUGGAAAGGCGCGCGAUACAGGGUGACAGCCCCGUACACAAAAGCGCAUGUGCUGUGAGCUCGAUGAGUAGGGCGGGACACGUGGUAUCCUGUCUGAAUAUGGGGGGACCAUCCUCCAAGGCUAAAUACUCCUGACUGACCGAUAGUGAACCAGUACCGUGAGGGAAAGGCGAAAAGAACCCCGGCGAGGGGAGUGAAAAAGAACCUGAAACCGUGUACGUACAAGCAGUGGGAGCACAGGUUUACCUGUGUGACUGCGUACCUUUUGUAUAAUGGGUCAGCGACUUAUAUUCUGUAGCAAGGUUAACCGUAUAGGGGAGCCGGAGGGAAACCGAGUCUUAAUUGGGCGUUAAGUUGCAGGGUAUAGACCCGAAACCCGGUGAUCUAGCCAUGGGCAGGUUGAAGGUUGGGUAACACUAACUGGAGGACCGAACCGAC
RNAcentral lists this ribosomal RNA (751 nucleotides) under Salmonella enterica subsp. enterica serovar Typhimurium. RNAcentral's name for it is "partial 23S ribosomal RNA". It matches the Rfam family "Bacterial large subunit ribosomal RNA", at positions 1 to 783 of the family's 2925-position model. Lineage: Bacteria; Pseudomonadati; Pseudomonadota; Gammaproteobacteria; Enterobacterales; Enterobacteriaceae. The record is from RNAcentral.